AUAAAUACGACGAAGAGAAGUAGUAGGUAAUGCAAGGUUUCAGAGAGCUGUCGGAUGGUGUGAGACAGUACCCCAUAUUAUUGAACUGGUCUUGGAGUAGCCUGGCAGAACUUUUAGUAAGUCAGGACGGAGUUCCACGUUACGGAAAAAGAGUGCAUAUCGAAUGAUAUGAAAUAGAGUGGUACCGCGAAUUCCCCCUUCGUCUCUAUA
Molecule: non-coding RNA, 210 nt
Filed under: Clostridiales bacterium
Lineage: Bacteria; Bacillati; Bacillota; Clostridia; Eubacteriales
Description: T-box sequence
Rfam family: T-box leader
About the family: Uncharged tRNA acts as the effector for transcription antitermination of genes in the T-box leader family.
Source: RNAcentral